GCUUCUAUAGCUCAGUUGGGAGAGCGCAGCACUGAAGUCUUGAAUUACCUGGGGUGACAUGCUGAGGUCACCCGUUCAAUCCGGGUUGGAAGCA
RNAcentral lists this transfer RNA (94 nucleotides) under Microthyrium microscopicum. RNAcentral describes it as "tRNA-Phe". Lineage: Eukaryota; Fungi; Ascomycota; Dothideomycetes; Microthyriales; Microthyriaceae. The record is from RNAcentral.